This 472-nucleotide ribosomal RNA is filed under the name uncultured bacterium. RNAcentral's name for it is "bacterial SSU rRNA". It matches the Rfam family "Bacterial small subunit ribosomal RNA", at positions 30 to 496 of the family's 1533-position model. The record is from RNAcentral.
AUUGAACGCUGGCGGCAUGCCUUACACAUGCAAGUCGAACGGCAGCACGGGAGCAAUCCUGGUGGCGAGUGGCGAACGGGUGAGUAAUAUAUCGGAACGUGCCCAGUCGUGGGGAUAACGUAGCGAAAGCUACGCUAAUACCGCAUACGAUCUAUGGAUGAAAGCGGGGGAUCGCAAGACCUCGCGCGAUUGGAGCGGCCGAUAUCAGAUUAGGUAGUUGGUGAGGUAAAGGCUCACCAAGCCGACGAUCUGUAGCUGGUCUGAGAGGACGACCAGCCACACUGGAACUGAGACACGGUCCAGACUCCUACGGGAGGCAGCAGUGGGGAAUUUUUGGACAAUGGACGCAAGUCUGAUCCAGCCAUUCCGCGUGCAGGAUGAAGGCCCUCGGGUUGUAAACUGCUUUUGUACGGAACGAAAAGGUCUCUAUUAAUACUAGGGCUCAUGACGGUACCGUAAGAAUAAGCACCGG